RNAcentral lists this unclassified non-coding RNA (1075 nucleotides) under Hevea brasiliensis (rubber tree). The record is from RNAcentral. Lineage: Eukaryota; Viridiplantae; Streptophyta; Magnoliopsida; Malpighiales; Euphorbiaceae.
AUCUGUUCUGGUGCAAUGGUUCUGCCCAGCACCAAAAAGGGGAAAGUAAAAAAGGAAAGCAACGAAUGUUAGCUGCAUAGCUUAUACAGAAUAGCAAGUUAAGAUCACAAGCAAUGUGAUUCUAGUUUAAGUUAUAGGAUUCUUCAAAUCUAAAUAUAUUUUUGAACUUGAUCUCUAACCAUUUAACAACCCUGAGAACACAUUCUAUUAAGGCAAAAAGAAUUUAAGUCUGAAAAGUAAGAGGCCUGAGUGAUUUAAAGAGCUAAAUGAAAUCACAAUUUAGAGCCAAUCCACUCAAAUGGGAGAAAAGUGGGGAAAAGAAAGAAAAAGAUAAAUAACAUUGAAAAGCUUUUAAAGAAGCUUGCUGAAAACAAGUUUAGUUUACCAACCAAUUAAAAAAGAUACAGUUUGAAUUGACAAAAGUAAGGAAUGGGGAAAUUAGGAGCUUGAAAAGUAUGCAAGGAAAUGGUCUUCGGCACAAAGGGAGCCCAAUAGCAUUAAGAUAUUAGGUAACCUAUAAAUAAGAGAACAUUAUAAGUAAAACACUAUGUUGCUAUUUAGUGAAAGCAAGAUUUUCUUACUAAUAAUUUAGAGUUGAACGGAUAGCUUUCAAAAUAAAAAAGCCUAACAUGUAAAAUUUCCCCUAAACUAAUUGGAGAAAGUCUAUUACACCCUAACCUUCUAUUUCAACCUAUUACGCACCCUUCAAAAAAUCAUAUGAUUAUCGAUUUCAAGCCCAGAUUCUUCCUCAGCCUCACUCAAAUUGAUAUUUGCCAUUUUCCCAAUAUUCACAAGAACAAAAUUCUCUUAUCUUCAACGGUACAAAUAUCAAGAACAAAGUAUACGAGAAGGAGAGCUCCAAGAUACUACAUAAAGACUUCUGAUCUUGAAAUCAAACCAAAAAAAAUCAAAUUGAUUGAGGAUAUGAUUUUUUCCCCUCUUGUAGAAGCAAGGAAAACUCCAAUCCAUUUGUUCUACUCGGAUUAAAUAUUUUUCAUCCAACUUUUCUGUCUUAUCAUUCCCUGUAUAUACUACUCAAUGAAAGCCAAAUCAAGCUAGAAAUUCUAGUGAUUGG